UAUCCAAUUUAUGCAAUUCCAGGACGUAAAGCAGGAAGUUGUUGCUAAGAUAUUAGUUUUCCUAAAUCGGUUAACGACUGAAUCUCAUGGAAUUGAUGUUGGUGGCUGUUUCGUAAUAACUCCCUCGUCAACACUUACGAUGAUGGGGAGUUUUAUUACUUACAUACUAGUGGUGAUUCAGACAAAACCAUCAUAGAAGCGCUCCACCAUCUAUGUUUUCACGUUUCAAUGGUAACUGCAGUACGAAACUCGAUUUAAUAACAUUAUUUCACCAAUAAAUGCAUUCGGAUCACGUCCCUACAGCACUUUCUCAAGCAAGAUUCUAAACAACAAAGCUUGGUGUGACAAUGUAGAGAGUUCUAACUCCUUCAACCAGUGAAACACAAAGACGAUU
This is a long non-coding RNA of Octopus sinensis (East Asian common octopus), 394 nucleotides long. RefSeq lists it as uncharacterized. The transcript is spliced from 3 exons. The record is from RefSeq and is a predicted model, not a curated record. NCBI's taxonomy places the organism in Eukaryota, Metazoa, Mollusca, Cephalopoda, Octopoda, Octopodidae.